CCUACGGGGGACUGCAGUGAGGAAUAUUGGGCAAUGGACGAGAGUCUGAACCAGCCAAGCAGCGUGAAGGAAGACUGCCCUAUGGGUUGUAAACUUCUUUUAUAUGGGAAUAAAAUGUUCCAUGCGUGUUACUUUGUAUGUACCAUACGAAUAAGGAUCGGCCAACUCCGUGCCAGCAGAGGCGGUAAUACUGAGGAUUCGAGCGUUAUCCGGAUUUAUUGGGUGUAAAGGGAGCGGAGCUGGAUUGUUAAGUCAGCUGUGAAAGUCUGCGGCUCAACCGGAAAAUUGCAGGUGAAACUGGCAGUCUUGAGUACAGUAGAGGUGAGCGGAAUUCGUGGUGUAGCGGUGAAAUGCUUAGAUAUCACGAAGAACUCCGAUUGCGAAGGCAGCUCACUGGACUGCAACUGACGCUGAGGCUCGAAAGUGUGGGUAUCAAACAGGAUUAGAUACCCCUGUAGUC
This 460-nucleotide ribosomal RNA is filed under the name uncultured bacterium. RNAcentral's name for it is "partial 16S ribosomal RNA". It matches the Rfam family "Bacterial small subunit ribosomal RNA", at positions 338 to 795 of the family's 1533-position model. The record is from RNAcentral.